GAUGAACGCUGGCGGCGUGCUUAACACAUGCAAGUCGAACGGUGAAGGCGGAGCUUGCUCUGCUGGAUCAGUGGCGAACGGGUGAGUAACACGUGAGCAAUCUGCCCCUGACUCUGGGAUAAGCGCUGGAAACGGCGUCUAAUACUGGAUACGAGCUGCGAAGGCAUCUUCAGCAGCUGGAAAGAAUUUCGGUCAGGGAUGAGCUCGCGGCCUAUCAGCUUGUUGGUGAGGUAAUGGCUCACCAAGGCGUCGACGGGUAGCCGGCCUGAGAGGGUGACCGGCCACACUGGGACUGAGACACGACCCAGACUCCUACGGGAGGCAGCAGUGGGGAAUAUUGCACAAUGGGCGAAAGCCUGAUGCAGCAACGCCGCGUGAGGGACGACGGCCUUCGGGUUGUAAACCUCUUUUAGCAGGGAAGAAGCGAAAGUGACGGUACCUGCAGAAAAAGCGCCGGCUAACUACGUG
Molecule: ribosomal RNA, 468 nt
Filed under: uncultured bacterium
Lineage: Bacteria
Description: partial 16S ribosomal RNA
Rfam family: Bacterial small subunit ribosomal RNA
Source: RNAcentral